GUGAGGGAGAUUUGCUUCUGUUUGGCCACAUAUUUUAUGACUGGCAGCCACCAGCACUGGAUAAUUUGAAUUGGUCCUGGACCACCGACCCAGGAAACCCCUACAAGUGUCCUAGGCACCCCAGGUAGCUACGGCACACAGUUUGGGAACCUCUGCAUAAGCAAUACUCUAGAAAUGUUUGUUAUACAAACUAUCUACUCUAGUUUUAAUAUAAGAACUAAUAUCUUUACCAGAUAACCUGUAGAAAAUGCUGCCAAUUUCUUUCUACAGCAUAACUGUAAUCAGAAAAUAUAAGAACAAAAAAAAAAUUCCAGCAACAGAUUGCUGGAGAUACGCUGACAGUGUUAACGCUGACAGAUCUGCAUCUGGCAUACAGUCAAGAAGACAACGCCCUAACUAUGGUGGGCUAUACGGGGAAAAGGUUUUCAAAGCAGCAGACGCAGCAGCUAAAAUCAUAGGAAAAGAUAAAGGAAUAAGCAUUCUUUAAUGUAUAUGUAAAUCAAAGAUUGCAACAAGCAAUUAAUCACUACGAUUCCAGUAUUAACAUACUUUUAGACAAUUCUUCAAAGUUAUUUGGAAGAAUCCUAAUGUAAAAGUUACCCUGGGUAUUUCUAAAGAUUCCAGGAAGAAUAAAGUAGGAACAGAUUGAGUUGGAUGCAUAGCAUAUCUAUAUAUCACUUACCCUGGGUUCGUGAGGAAAAAAAAAAAAAAAAAUAUGCUUGCUAAAAUCCAUCUCAUUGUAUAGGCAUCGAUAUAAUACAUUGCAAAAGUUCUUAGUGGACUGCACAAUAUGCAGUGAUGAACCAGGUUCCGUAGCCAGGAAGUGUGGGGAUAUAAUCGUAUACAAAAAUACAGAUAGAAAUGCGAGCAGGAGCGUUGUUCAGUUUUGUAAGUGAUUUUUCAGUGAAUAUGUAUAUGUGCCAAAACAUCCAUGGGAUGGACACAGUCCAAGAAAAGUUUGCUUGGAAGCAAAUAAGAGUGUGCAUGAAAAAAAAAAAACGUACAGUUUGUGUGGACUGGCCAGUCUGAAUGAUAUGUUGAGAAAUGUAACCAGUAUGUGGAUGAUAUACCUUUGUGUUACAAAUUAUUUGAAGUAUUGGUGUCAGGUACUAAACAGUUGUGUUUUCUUACAGAAAAGGACACACGGUGUCGAAAGACAAAAGUCAACGGUGUGCUGACAUAGUUAACUACCUAGACAUUAUUUGGCGCUAGGCCAAAGAUAGUUAAAACCCUUAGAGGGUGGAGCCUUGGUAUACAUUUAUUGAUAGAUAGAUAUGUAUGACCAGAUGAUAAAUCUCUAGAUACAGUAAUUUUUUUGUAAAUGCUAUAUGCAUACAUUCAAGUUCAUAACCAAAGAAUUUUAGAAGGUAAUACAAUAUUACACUUUAUCAUGAAUAAAACAUUAUGGAUACACAGUCAGAGCCAAACCAUCCACUUAUGUUUAAUACUGAGGUUAAGCAGUAGAUUUUAUAUGAUGUGUACAUUUUACCUCUGACAGUAUACAACUUAGAUAUCAUAUAGCAAUAGUGUAGCUUACGGAGAGAUUUCAGGUUUAAAGAUAUAUCCCUUCACUCAAUAGGGGAUAUAUGAACCAACAGGGAAAUUGUAACAAAAGAUUUGUUCCGUGAAAAAUGUGUUUAUUAGGACACAUAAACUCACUGACAUACUACAUACAUAAAGUGCAUGGGUGAAUCUGGAUCAGUUAAAGUGACCGUGUGAUAGAUGUAAAUCUCUCACCAUAUAAUGGGAUUGCGUUGGGCUAGCUUAAAGAAGCAACAUGGGUCCGAGGCUGAAAAUAGCCUAGGCACCACCGCAGAUGGUUUAUUCAGCGUAUCAGUCCUUUUACUUGCUUCACUGAUCCUCGUCACCCGAUUCCCCUGUCCAAGAACCUAUCCUGGUAAGGUUUCCUCUGGUGGCACAGUGAUGCCCAGCUCAGAGUGUUUCCCGAUUCACAAGAUCCGCCACAACUUAGAUACAGCUGCAUACUUGUCUUCCUCACCCCCAAAAGUGGGGAGUAUAAGGAAUAUAAUGUGGAUGAGUAAGACAAUUAUAAUGAGUACAUCGCAUUUUACAUUGCAUUUAAAGGAAUUGAAAAAUCGAGCAUCCAUAGGGGAUAAUGGGAUGGUGAAGUAGUGAAUUAGUAUUAUUAAUAAUAAAGUGUUGUUGCCAAUUUUCAUUAAGGGGAAAUUUUCAUGAGUUAUGCAAAUCUAAGGGUACCUAACAUGAAAUAGAUUCACAAGCUUUCUAUAAUGAAGUUUAAUGGAGAAGUGUACAUUGUGUUUUGGCAUGGGACCAAAAUAACAAAUUAUGUGAUAAUAAGAGGGAUCGUGAUGGUGAUAAAGAAAGCUAUAGCAUGUUUACUGCAGAUGGUUGGGUUGAUUAAAAACAACAUUGUUUUAAUACAACAUAGUGUAAUGCUAAAAAGGAACUAUAGUAGGUGUAACAGGUGUUAAGAGGUUAUUUGAAAAAUGAAUAAUAAGGCCAGAGGUGUGAGCUAUUGUUUCAAAAGACAGUAAAGUUUCUUUACUGAUAGAAAGAGUUUAUAGGAGUUUGAAAAAUAUUUUGUGUUUAAUAUGUGUAAUGUUGAGAAUAAAAAGUCAUAAUGUGACAAGGAAAGUUUAAAGAAUUAAGCAUUAUUAAUCUACAAAAGAGACAGGAAAGGCAGAAUUUGAAUCAUGGCAUGGUCCAAUCGUUGGUUCAAUAGUGGUAGAAUUACACCUAAGCCUCUGCUUUGUCUCUCUUCUAUAUCAUUUUUUUGUUAUUCUUUUUGGAAUCCAGCAAAGAUAUGUUAUCCAGCAAAGAUAUAUUAUCCAGAGACUGAUUCAAAACUACAAAAUGAUUUGACGAUUCAAAUGUGUCACACAAAUUAUUUAAACAGUUACAAGAAUAUCAAAAGCUGCAAGAACCUUGGAAAGAUAUUUAACCAAUACGAAAACACACAGUCCGGCACAGGACAAUCACUAAGAGAGUGAAGACGGUGUUAUGGUGAGAAGUUGCUUAUGUUUUGGUUCCAUUACAGAUCGCAUAGGAUGGUCCUGGGCAAGUACCGCUGACUCUGAUACAGCCGUUGCAAAGGCUGCAGAAGAAGGACACCUAGAUCCAUGAGCUUGCAAUGAAAUGAAAAGGUCAGAGACCAGAGCUUAAAGGAACCUAACACUAAAAACAAUUGUAUGGAGAUACAAUACAGAGACUGUUACUACUGUUACUACCACAGAGUUGUAUUUGAAUGAACCCUUCAAUCAAGAUAGAGAUGAUUAUGAUCAUUGAUAAUAGACUAUGUGCUUAUAAGCUAGUAUCCUACAGAACUUUUAAUAUUUUUGAAAGUAUACGGGAGCGACGUUAUUUAUAACAGCAUUAGGACUUAAUUUAUUUAUUUUUCUUUGAAGAGAGAGCGAGCAAACGUGUGGUGUAGGUAUGAGUACUCAUCCAUUAUUGUGGAUGGGAAUUAUUUCAAUAAGACCCUUCCUUCCUCUUUUCUUUUCUAAGCAGGAAAUCCAGAGGGAUUUAUGACCGGUGUAACGAACACACACUUUGAAAAACGUGGUUGUGAGUAUUAUACUCCACUUGAAGACAAAUGUAUAGAUUAAUGCAUGGAUAAUUUAAAUAAUUUAGGAUAUUAUUCUGAGGAGUAUCCAGUCCAGCAAUACCAUUAAUUGUUGGAAAGAUUUUAAGUACUGCAGCUAUAUAAAUUGUAUUGCUAAUCAUUAUUUAAGACUAUUAUAAUUGUUAGAUAUGUAUACAUAGAUAAUAGCAGGCCAAAGUUCUCUAUGCAAUUUACAUUUGAUGUGAUUACCAAAACUUUAUAGAGUCGUGAUAAUAGUGAAACACGGUACAUGUGUAUAGAUACAACAGUAUCUCAAGAACGAACCACUGGUGAUAAUAUUAGCUACACAUAUCGGGUGUAUUUCAGUUAGGGGAAAUAAAAUAGGUCAAUAAUACAGAAAAAAAAAAUUAUCUUAUGUAGAUAGAAAAGGUUGAUUUAAGGGAAUGUGAUAGGAUUGUUACAAUAUACUAACCUAAGGUUUCUAGAUGUGCUAGAUAUAAUGAGUUAGGUAUAUAAAUAGUAAUGGUUACAUAGGAUGUUCAUUAAAGUUUAUGAUUUAAUAAAUGUAUUUUACCAGUAGUAGAUUCAAAGGUUAAAAGAAGAUAUCAUACAUAACGGGGAAUGGUAGUUGUCACCAUGUCUUUAGGAUAUGAUAUAUAUAAUUGGUUACCUAUUAAUUCUAAAAAAAAAUGUUUGUUAUUUAAGAAGAUUGAUAUAGCAAUGUUAUACACAAACAUAUAUUAACUUGAGAAAAGUUUUCUUGCAGGAUGAACUAUUCCUAAAAAGAGUAAUUGACUCAGUAAUCAGGAAACAUGUUCCAGCCACCAGAGUAUCAAUAAAACCUCGAAGUGGUAAAGGUGGCUAAUAAGUUCUCCAAUGGCUAAUGAAGUCGUAUGAUUAAUCAACUGGAAGUUGACGUUUUUUUUUUUUUUCCUCGUUUAAACUAUUGAUAACAUGAUUGAACUUUAUGAUAGGAUAUUCCAUAACUGUGGACAUUUAUGAUGAUUCCAGGACAUUGGACAUGAACUAUUACGAUACCAUAUUGUUCUACAUUUUUUAAUACCACAAAUUGGAGGAUAUUGUUGAUUUCCGGAAACAGCACUUUGAGCUCACUGCUGAGCUUAUUUGACCAAAGACAUUACGGAUCCUGAUACGUGUAAUGCCAAGUAUAUAAAGGAGGUCCAUGAUAUAAAAGAACUUUAACCAAGGCAUUAUGAUAUGGACUGGAAAAGAUAAAUGUUUAAAUCCUAGUAUUCAAUUUCAGGAUUAGGAAAAUGUUUUUUUUUUUUUUUAAAUAUAUUGUAUGUGAUUGUAUGUGAUGAUGUAUUCUGUGAUGAGGUUUAUUCUUUGGCGACCCCAAUGUGAUUAUAGACAUUCAUUUGAUGUUCACCGCAUACAGGUGCGGCAUAUGUUGUAGUUAGAAGGCUACUGUCAAACGCAGAAUAGCAAUACUACAUGAAAUGAUUAUUAGUGAACUAUACGUUCCCAGAAAUUCUCCUGAGAUGACAGGGCACAUGGAUAAUGUCCCUGAUCAAAGGGUGGAGCUGUCGAAUACUGUGACUGAGGCAACCUGCUGAAGGCCUAACAGUUAUGUGUGUGCACUACGGGAUAGUACGUAUAUUAUGUAUACAUUUAAUAAGCAAAGGGUUCUCAUAUUCUCUAGUAUAAUCUGAAAGCAUAACAGAAUCCAUUUUGAUUCUAGCUAGAUGAUAUAGCAAAUUCAUAUUGAACUUUAUACACACCCUGAGAGAAAAACAACUUUGUUGGCAGAGUAUUAAUUCCACAUACGCACUUUCUAAAAGCUCUCAGAGUACAGAUGUAAUUCCUAAUAUGGACACAGUUGAAGCUCACGAGUAUCAUUUUAGUAUUCUUGAUAAUUGUCCCAAUAUUGCAUAACUAUAUUGCCUAACAUUGUAUUCCAGAAGAAUGAAAUCAUAUGGGAGGGAUAUAAAAUGGGCGUUACUUUGUAUUAUAUAAAACUCAUUGUUGAUACGUGUAGGUCGUUGUUAAAUGAUUUGAGACAGGACGAGAGGAUGUCCCUCGUCCCUGUAUACGGGCGUGGCCCUUUGAAUAAAUAAUAAUUGAUUUUUAUAAA
Molecule: long non-coding RNA, 5639 nt
Organism: Pseudophryne corroboree (corroboree frog)
Lineage: Eukaryota; Metazoa; Chordata; Amphibia; Anura; Myobatrachidae
Exons: 2
Source: RefSeq, a predicted model, not a curated record